This 403-nucleotide ribosomal RNA is filed under the name Verrucomicrobiota bacterium. RNAcentral's name for it is "Verrucomicrobia bacterium partial 16S ribosomal RNA". It matches the Rfam family "Bacterial small subunit ribosomal RNA", at positions 355 to 776 of the family's 1533-position model. Lineage: Bacteria; Pseudomonadati; Verrucomicrobiota. The record is from RNAcentral.
UGGGGAAUUUUGCACAAUGGGGGAAACCCUGAUGCAGCGACGCCGCGUGAUUUAGAAGGCCUUCGGGUUGUAAAAAUCUUUUCUAUGGGAAGAAAAUGACAGUACCAUAGGAAUAAGGACCGGCUAAUUACGUGCCAGCAGCCGCGGUAAUACGGAAGGUUCGGGCGUUAUCCGGAUUUAUUGGGUUUAAAGGGAGCGUAGGCCGUUUGGUAAGCGUGUUGUGAAAUGUAGGAGCUCAACUUCUAGAUUGCAGCGCGAACUGUCAGACUUGAGUGCGCACAACGUAGGCGGAAUUCAUGGUGUAGCGGUGAAAUGCUUAGAUAUCAUGAAGAACUCCGAUUGCGAAGGCAGCUUACGGGAGCGCAACUGACGCUGAAGCUCGAAGGUGCGGGUAUCGAACAGG